CCCCUUCGGGGGUGGAUUAGCGGCGGACGGGUGAGUAACACGUGGGUAACCUGCCUCAAAGUGGGGGAUAGCCUUCCGAAAGGAAGAUUAAUACCGCAUAAAGCCAAGUUUCACAUGGAAUUUGGAUGAAAGGAGUAAUUCGCUUUGAGAUGGACCCGCGGCGCAUUAGUUAGUUGGUGGGGUAAUGGCCUACCAAGACAGCGAUGCGUAGCCGACCUGAGAGGGUGAUCGGCCACAUUGGAACUGAGAUACGGUCCAGACUCCUACGGGAGGCAGCAGUGGGGAAUAUUGCACAAUGGGCGAAAGCCUGAUGCAGCAACGCCGCGUGAGUGAUGAAGGUCUUCGGAUUGUAAAGCUCUGUCUUUUGGGACGAUAAUGACGGUACCAAAGGAGGAAGCCACGGCUAACUACGUGCCAGCAGCCGCGGUAAUACGUAGGUGGCGAGCGUUGUCCGGAUUUACUGGGCGUAAAGGGUGCGUAGGCGGAUGUUUAAGUGAGAUGUGAAAUACCCGGGCUUAACUUGGGUGCUGCAUUUCAAACUGGAUAUCUAGAGUGCAGGAGAGGAGAAUGGAAUUCCUAGUGUAGCGGUGAAAUGCGU
This 598-nucleotide ribosomal RNA is filed under the name Clostridium sp. BCCO 40_FK99. Its description in RNAcentral is "bacterial SSU rRNA". It matches the Rfam family "Bacterial small subunit ribosomal RNA", at positions 75 to 691 of the family's 1533-position model. The record is from RNAcentral. Lineage: Bacteria; Bacillati; Bacillota; Clostridia; Eubacteriales; Clostridiaceae.